GACGAAGGAUGCGAGCGUUAUCCGGAUUCAUUGGGUUUAAAGGGAGCGUAGGUGGUCUUAUAAGUCAGUGGUGAAAUCCUGUCGCUUAACGAUAGAAUUGCCAUUGAUACUGUAGGACUUGAGUACAGUUGCCGUUGGCGGAAUAUGACAUGUAGUGGUGAAAUACAUAGAUAUGUCAUAGAACACCGAUGGCGAAGGCAGCCCCCUGGGCUGACACUGACGCUCAGGCACGAAAGCGUGGGGAGCAAACAGG
This 253-nucleotide ribosomal RNA is filed under the name uncultured bacterium. Its description in RNAcentral is "partial 16S ribosomal RNA". It matches the Rfam family "Bacterial small subunit ribosomal RNA", at positions 524 to 776 of the family's 1533-position model. The record is from RNAcentral.